RNAcentral lists this transfer RNA (86 nucleotides) under bacterium. RNAcentral describes it as "tRNA-Ser". It matches the Rfam family "tRNA". From Rfam's summary of the family: Transfer RNA (tRNA) molecules are approximately 80 nucleotides in length. Their secondary structure includes four short double-helical elements and three loops (D, anti-codon, and T loops). The record is from RNAcentral.
GGAGAGGUGUCCGAGUGGUCGAAGGAGACGGUCUUGAAAACCGUUGAGCCUCACGGGUUCCGUGGGUUCGAAUCCCACCCUCUCCG